Homo sapiens (human) is the source of this 670-nucleotide long non-coding RNA. RefSeq lists it as uncharacterized. The record is from RefSeq and is a predicted model, not a curated record. Lineage: Eukaryota; Metazoa; Chordata; Mammalia; Primates; Hominidae. The transcript is spliced from 2 exons.
AACAGCACCAGCACCACGAGCAGGCAGAGCACGAAGGCGAACACCGUGCGCUGCUCCGCGUCCAGGCCCGCGCCCACCGGGGGCCCCGUCGACGGCGGCAGGGGCUCCGGCGACAGCGUCCACGUCGCGCUCAUGGCUCACAUCGCCGCGCGCCCUGCGGAGGAGGGGACCCGCCCCGGGCGCCGGGGAUGAGGCUGCGCCCUCCCUCCCGCGCCUCCUCCGCUUCGCCCCCUCCUGCCGCCGCCGCCGCCGCCUCCCUUAACGUGCCCGACCCCAUCCCCCGCCCGCGCCUCGGUCCCCGGGCUACGCCCAUGCCCGGCCCGCCGGAUCGCCGCCACCACCACGCGGGGACCCAACUCUGGCCGUGCGCGCAGGUGGGGGCGCUGAGAGCCGGGAAACGGAGCCGCGCCCGGCCUGGGCCGCACACAACAGGGUCCAGCCCUGGGCAAGGCGUCCACCCACUGCGGCUGCAGUUCCUCACUCGACCUUGACCGCCUCCCACAGCAGCCGCCUGCUCCCACCCCCACCAUCGCCUCGGCCACUCCCGCGCCAGAGAAGACACUUCAGACUCCGUAGCUGCUCUUCUGCAAUUCGGUGUUUUAUUCUUUCCAAAUCUCAGGCUUAUGCACAAGAUGGAAGAGCACUGUUAAAAUUAAAAAAUGGACCUAAA